GUGGGGAAUAUUGGACAAUGGGCGAAAGCCUGAUCCAGCCAUGCCGCGUGUGUGAAGAAGGUCUUCGGAUUGUAAAGCACUUUAAGUUGGGAGGAAGGGCAGUAAGUUAAUACCUUGCUGUUUUGACGUUACCGACAGAAUAAGCACCGGCUAACUUCGUGCCAGCAGCCGCGGUAAUACGAAGGGUGCAAGCGUUAAUCGGAAUUACUGGGCGUAAAGCGCGCGUAGGUGGUUUUGUAAGUUGGAGGUGAAAUCCCCGGGCUCAACCUGGGAAGUGCCUCCAAAACUGCAUGACUAGAGUACGGUAGAGGGUAGUGGAAUUUCCUGUGUAGCGGUGAAAUGCGUAGAUAUAGGAAGGAACACCAGUGGCGAAGGCGACUACCUGGACUGAUACUGACACUGAGGUGCGAAAGCGUGGGGAGCAAACAGGAUUAGAAACCCCAGUAGUCC
This 450-nucleotide ribosomal RNA is filed under the name uncultured bacterium. Its description in RNAcentral is "partial 16S ribosomal RNA". It matches the Rfam family "Bacterial small subunit ribosomal RNA", at positions 354 to 796 of the family's 1533-position model. The record is from RNAcentral.